UGGUGGAGUGAUUUGUCUGGUUAAUUCCGUUAACGAACGAGACCUCAGCCUGCUAACUAGUUACGCGGAGUUCAUCUUCGCGGACAACUUCUUAGAGGGACUAUGAGCGUUCAGCUCAUGGAAGUUUGAGGCAAUAACA
RNAcentral lists this ribosomal RNA (139 nucleotides) under uncultured eukaryote. RNAcentral describes it as "partial 18S ribosomal RNA". It matches the Rfam family "Eukaryotic small subunit ribosomal RNA", at positions 1299 to 1458 of the family's 1831-position model. The record is from RNAcentral.